CGCAUAUUGCGCCCCCUGGUAUGCCUAGGGGCAUGCCUGUUCGAGCGUCAUUAUCACCUCUCAAGCUCUGGCUUGGUGUUGGACCAAUAGUUGUGGCCCGUCCGCAACUAGUCCCAAAGAUAGUGACGGCGUCCCAGAGGGAACCGGUACGAGGAGCUUUCUCUUAAGCAUGUACGGGGAAGACUCUGUGGGCGACGGUCUUUUUUAUAACUUCUUUAAGUGUUGACCUCGGAUCAGGUAGGAAUACCCGCUGAACUUAA
RNAcentral lists this unclassified non-coding RNA (260 nucleotides) under Chaetothyriales sp. Its description in RNAcentral is "partial contains 5.8S ribosomal RNA, internal transcribed spacer 2, and large subunit ribosomal RNA". Lineage: Eukaryota; Fungi; Ascomycota; Eurotiomycetes; Chaetothyriales. The record is from RNAcentral.